GGGGGUGACUGGAUUUGACGGCAAGUCGAGAUGGUACGUAAGCAUGCGGAGUGAUGACUGUGGACUCCAUAAUCACGUCGGUCGAAAAAUUAAUUGGCGAAACACGUUACGCUCUCGCUGCCUAAUCGAAGUACAGUAGAUUACUGGCUUUAUUCUCUUACAAGGUGAGAGAACGAGACGUCGCUCCGAGGAUGGUGUUCCGAAUCCAAAGAUCCAGCGGCGCAGGAAAAUCGGAAAUAGUCUUGUCAGGCCUCGAUGGCGGGAUGAAAUUUUAGAGGAUAAGGGUGUAAUUGGUGGCUCAGGUCUUGUUGCAUCACGAAAAUGAAGGCUGAGAUAAGCAUGUAGAAAGCGUAUGGUUUCCUUGUGCGGACGAGGGUUCGAAUCCCUCCACUUCCACAG
This 399-nucleotide transfer-messenger RNA is filed under the name Bacteroidaceae. Its description in RNAcentral is "Prevotella sp017964785 Standard tmRNA". It matches the Rfam family "transfer-messenger RNA". Rfam says of the family: Bacterial tmRNA, also known as 10Sa RNA or SsrA, is named for its dual tRNA and mRNA-like properties. Lineage: Bacteria; Pseudomonadati; Bacteroidota; Bacteroidia; Bacteroidales. RNAcentral also lists the same sequence under 1 other name. The record is from RNAcentral.